This is a long non-coding RNA of Chelonia mydas (Green sea turtle), 877 nucleotides long. RefSeq lists it as uncharacterized. The record is from RefSeq and is a predicted model, not a curated record. The transcript has 3 exons. Lineage: Eukaryota; Metazoa; Chordata; Testudines; Cheloniidae.
CUCACAAGCAGUAUCCCUGGCGGCAAGCUUGGUUAUGUGGCUUGCAACACAGCUCUGCCAAAGCCAGCAUCGUCUUGGGCUUGCUGGGUGAACGUAUAAUGAGACAUAAAUGUGUGGACAGAUGACCAGGGGGUGGCCCUGCAGAUACCCUGAAUCAGCACCUGGGCCAGGAAGCCUGCUGACGAAGCCUGCUCCCUAGUCGAGUGGGCAGUCACAGUUGCUGGUGGAGGCACCUUUGCCAGGUCAUAGCAGUAACGGAUGCAGGCCAUGAUCCAAGACGAAAUCCUCUGUGCAGGCACUGGGCAACCUUUCAUCCUGUCUGCCACCGCAAAAAACUGUGUUGACUUAUGAAACGGCUUGGUCCUGUGGAUGUAGAAGGCAAGCACCCUCCUGAUGUCCAGGGUGUGCAAUUUGCACUCCUCUUCCGAUUUAUAAGCCUUCAGAAAGAAGACAGAAUACCCCAAUCUCUGAAGAUGGAUCUCAGCACGCUGUUCUUCAGGGACCACUCAUGAUUCUGGAAAAAUCUCUGCUGAGGUGGUCAGCUAACUGAUUCUGAACAUUGGCUGAGGCAUAAGUCUGGAUGAAGCAUCUGCCAUGUCCGCCACUGACUGCAAAGAUGUCUUGGCCACCACACUGCCUUCUGCAAUGAAUUCCUGAAGGAUUCUGGCAACUUAUCUGUAAACUUGGACAUAGCAUCCCAGUUCACAAAGUCAUACUUAGAUAAAAACACCUGUUGGUUUGCAAUGGGUAUUUGUAAUGAAGAGGUUGAAUAAACUAUUCUCCCCAUCAAGUCUAACCUCUUAGACUCUUUGUCUUUAGGUGUGGAUUUAUAUCUCCCCUGAGGUAAUCUCUUAUUGGCUGUCAUCACACAAGAGAA